RNAcentral lists this ribosomal RNA (593 nucleotides) under uncultured bacterium. RNAcentral's name for it is "partial 16S ribosomal RNA". It matches the Rfam family "Bacterial small subunit ribosomal RNA", at positions 355 to 940 of the family's 1533-position model. The record is from RNAcentral.
UGGGGAAUCUUCCGCAAUGGACGAAAGUCUGACGGAGCAACGCCGCGUGUAUGAUGAAGGUCUUCGGAUUGUAAAGUACUGUCAUUGGGGAAGAACGGUUUUCUUGAAAAGAUUGAGAAGACAUGACGGUACCCAAGGAGGAAGCCCCGGCUAACUACGUGCCAGCAGCCGCGGUAAUACGUAGGGGGCAAGCUUGUCCGGAAUUAUUGGGCGUAAAGGGCGCGUAGGCGGGCCUUUAAGUCCGGUGUGAAAGAUCAGGGCUCAACCCUGAGAGUGCAUCGGAAACUGGAGGCCUUGAGGACAGGAGAGGAAAGUGGAAUUCCACGUGUAGCGGUGAAAUGCGUAGAUAUGUGGAAGAACACCAGUGGCGAAGGCGACUUUCUGGACUGUAACUGACGCUGAGGCGCGAAAAGCGUGGGGAGCAAAACAGGAUUAGAUACCCUGGUAGUCCACGCCGUAAACGAUGAGUGCUAGGUGUAGAGGGUAUCGACCCCUUCUGUGCCGCAGUUAACACAAUAAGCACUCCCGCCUGGGGAGUACGGCCGCAAGGUUGAAACUCAAAGGAAUUGACGGGGGUCAUAGCUGUUUUCCGU